RNAcentral lists this ribosomal RNA (475 nucleotides) under uncultured bacterium. Its description in RNAcentral is "bacterial SSU rRNA". It matches the Rfam family "Bacterial small subunit ribosomal RNA", at positions 21 to 518 of the family's 1533-position model. The record is from RNAcentral.
GGCUCAGGACGAACGCUGGCGGCGUGCUUAACACAUGCAAGUCGAACGGGAGUAUUGAAGAAGCUUGCUUUAGAGAUACUUAGUGGCGGACGGGUGAGUAACGCGUGAGGAGCUGUCCUAUGCAGGGGGACAACAGCUGGAAACGGCUGCUAAUACCCCAUAAGCCGAGAGGUAAAAGGAUCAAUCCGGCAGAGGAGGUACUCGCGUCCUAUCAGCUAGUAGGUGAGGUAACGGCUCACCUAGGCGAAGACGGGUAGCCGGCCUGAGAGGGCGAACGGCCACACUGGAACUGAGAUACGGUCCAGACUCCUACGGGAGGCAGCAGUGGGGAAUAUUGGGCAAUGGGGGAAACCCUGAACCCCAGCGACGCCGCGUGGGUGAAGAAAUCCUUCGGGAUGUAAAGCCCUGUUGUAUGGGAAGAGCGGAAGACGGUACCAUACGAGGAAGCCCCGGCAAACUACGUGCCAGCAGCAGC